GGCUCAAUGGUCUAGUGGUAUGAUUCGUGCUUCGGGCGGUUUCCACAUGGUUCCCCCAUUACUUGUCUCUAUCAGAGAUAAAACAAGUAAACAAGAUGUGCGAGGUCUCGGGUUCGAUCCCCGAUUGAGCCC
Echria macrotheca is the source of this 132-nucleotide non-coding RNA. The record is from the annotation of a GenBank genome assembly. Lineage: Eukaryota; Fungi; Ascomycota; Sordariomycetes; Sordariales; Schizotheciaceae.